This is a long non-coding RNA of Cyprinus carpio carpio, 2901 nucleotides long. The record is from Ensembl. NCBI's taxonomy places the organism in Eukaryota, Metazoa, Chordata, Actinopteri, Cypriniformes, Cyprinidae.
CAAUAACUAGUUGUAAACUCUGCUGUGCUAGCAAAGUGCAUAAUGAAGAAUAAGGAGACAGAAAAAAGUAUGUAGCAAACAAACAAGACGGCAAACAAAAACCUUUAAGCAAUCAUGUAAAGCACGUCGAACAUCUGAGCACUGUGUGAGAACAAAGCGGAGCCCUGUCAGCCCAUCGAUCUGCUCCUGAAGGCACUCGUACGCACACACAUAUCUACAUGCACAAGGCUCCUACUGCACCCCGUCUCUCAGAGAAUGCCUGUAUUGAUCUGGCCCACUUCUGUAGAGUUAACUCACUGAUAAAACCUGACCACAGGGCUUCCAUGGGCCCAAGAGCGUUCGGAAUUCUGUUGAAAAAAACAACGGGAGAGAAAAAAAGAUGAAACACAAAGCAAGUGGAAAAAAAAUCGCUGCUUGUACGUCCCCUCAGUCUGGAGAGACGAAGCUCUUUGACAGUUUUGUCUUUUUGGCUGGCAUUAUUUAUAUAUUUCUUCAGCAUUGUGUGCUUACAAUGCUGUCGACUUUACCACGUGGACUGACAAGCGUUCAGAGAUGUUGCGCAUAUUGUCAUCUCCUCGAGUGCACCCACUGGAAUUUCUCUUAGAAAUUCACAGGGAUGUGAGGAAAAGCAGAUUUUUUUUCAAUACCGUAUUAAUGCGAAGGGUUGGUCAGUGCGUCUGUGUGCGUCUGCAUCUCACAACGUGUUGCUUGUGUUAACGCUUGCUUGUGUGUGUGCUCGAGUGCAUCCAACAGUAUAUGCCAGUGUGGAUGUGUGUUUGUGUACGCAUGUGAACGUGUAUACGUGUUGCCAUGUUAGAAUGUGCAGCGUUGUCAUGUUUGUUACAUUCCAUGUGGGAGGGUCUGCUGAGAGGCAGGCCAUCUGUAGUGUUCUGAAGAUCGACAUGUUGUAAAAUGCGAUUGGAGAGUGUGGAGACUCAACUUGUCAAAUCUUGGCACAUAAUGAGGCAGAAGGGAGUGAAGGCAGGAAAAAGAUUCAGAGAUAAACAAUUAGAUUAAUCCCAGCGGUAAAGGGCACAGACAAUGGGAGGACUCAAAGAAAAAACAAAAUCAAUAUGGCAACUGCUGAGGACACAAUGGAGUACAGUGAGGAAGGGACUAACACUUAUUUCUCAGAUGAAAAGACAUACAGACACAUGGCGGAGGAGUCACGACUUGUUCGAAUCAAUACCGGUGUCAGCACCGGAUGCACUACCACCUAUUCCUCACACGUUUUUCAUCAGAGAAGCCGCCAGACGUUACAGAAUAUACGGUAACAUUGCAUACCACAAAAGCACAUCCCAAAAAGCCCAAACAAAGACAUGGGGAUAAUGAAGUAAAUUAGGGGCCGCAAUCGCCUCCAGCUACAGCCAACUGAUGAUCUUUUAGGAGGAGAGACAUUGGGGACCGUAAUGCUUUCACACCCCCUGAGUCCAAACAUAAUGGAGCAUGAUCUGCAGCCACAGUCUGGGCCGUCCCAGCGCGCCGCCGCCCCUCUCAGGCCCUGCCCAGACUCGCAGGUCUGAACCGACAUCUCAGGCGCCAUAUCCCGGCAAAUCUCACAGGGCUGCCCGUGCCAGGGCGCCGGGGCCCGACUGAAGCCGGGAUGUCCUAUGUGCUAGAGGGAAAGGGGGGUGGAUAGGCUGAGUGAGUGAGUGGCGCUGGCCCCGGUUUACCCCACAGGGACGCAGAAAGGCGUUGACCAGAAAGGUGUGAGUCGGCAACGCAGCACCCCGCCCAUUGUCAUGUCUCCAAGGAGGCUGGUACACCGUCGAGUCAUCGGCAGGGUUCCAGCGAAAAUACAUGAGGAAGCCAGGAGUGCCGGGGACCUGUAUGGACUAUCGGCCCAGUCCCAGGGAGAGAAGGGCCACAGCUCCACUGACCUCCAGCAACCUGUCAGUCUGUCAUCCCCGCCUGGGGAAUUAAGAGGGGAGGGAAGAGAUGGGGCCAAAGAGAAAGAAGAGAUAUAAAGGGUGUGGUGUUGCCUCUUUAUGUUGAGAGCAGCAAACGUGAUGACUCCCAGACGGGGAGACAUGGCAAACCCUAAUAAUACCAACCCAUACAAUGGCUCUGACAGCCCGGCUAUAAAGCAAUCAGGGUCCCAGGCAUUCCAAAUCUCUUUAACGCCCACCCUACAGCAGUCUGGAAGAUGGGUGGCUGACCUGAGAGCUGUCAAUCACGCUGCUGUACCUGCUGGAGCUUGGGCAGAGUAGAGCCGGGAGCAUGCGGUCCAUCAGAUCUGUUUUCACACUCCCCACACUAUCACUGCAAGCGUAACCAAAAAGACAAAAAACGCCCCACUGCCCUACUCUUAAUUAGGGAGUGUGGAUAAGACUGAGGCGAGAGCUCUCCCAGUGGUGCGCUACAAGCUUGGAAGGAGGCAAAGAGACAUCUAUGCAGAGAAAAGGAGAAAUGUUAAGGGUCUUCUCAUCUGAAACUCAACUGGCUGAAAAGCUUCUCGGCUACUUUUCUUUUUUCACCCAUCUACCUUUCGACCAAAGCAGUGAGUCCUUCUUCUUGUACUCUUUCACCUGCUGCCAUCAGUAGUAAUGUCCGAGAGCUGCGCAACCUCAAGAGCUUCGAUCAAAGAGCUCUUCGCUCUUAAUGGGCCGCAUCUCACAUCUGCCUACAGAUUGGGCUAUUUAGUCUUCUUUAAUUCCCCACUGUUUAGGUUGAAAACAUAUGUAUUUGCAAGGAAUACCAGACUGUUUUAUAAAGUACAAUUUCCAGUACACCACAGAAAGUAAAAAUAGUUUUACAUUCAGUCAAUGUAUUGCAAUGUAAAAUCUGUGGUUUACAAGCAAUACCUGUAUAAUGAUCUAUUGUGCAUUUUAGUUAUGCUGAUAUAAUUGCCAUAUUAACAUGAAUUAACAUUUACUCGACCUUUUUCCAGUAACCUCCAAU